GGGAAACUGCCUGAUGGAGGGGGAUAACUACUGGAAACGGUAGCUAAUACCGCAUAAUGUCGCAAGACCAAAGAGGGGGACCUUCGGGCCUCUUGCCAUCGGAUGUGCCCAGAUGGGAUUAGCUUGUUGGUGGGGUAACGGCUCACCAAGGCGACGAUCCCUAGCUGGUCUGAGAGGAUGACCAGCCACACUGGAACUGAGACACGGUCCAGACUCCUACGGGAGGCAGCAGUGGGGAAUAUUGCACAAUGGGCGCAAGCCUGAUGCAGCCAUGCCGCGUGUAUGAAGAAGGCCUUCGGGUUGUAAAGUACUUUCAGCGGGGAGGAAGGGAGUAAAGUUAAUACCUUUGCUCAUUGACGUUACCCGCAGAAGAAGCACCGGCUAACUCCGUGCCAGCAGCCGCGGUAAUACGGAGGGUGCAAGCGUUAAUCGGAAUUACUGGGCGUAAAGCGCACGCAGGCGGUUUGUUAAGUCAGAUGUGAAAUCCCCGGGCUCAACCUGGGAACUGCAUCUGAUACUGGCAAGCUUGAGUCUCGUAGAGGGGGGUAGAAUUCCAGGUGUAGCGGUGAAAUGCGUAGAGAUCUGGAGGAAUACCGGUGGCGAAGGCGGCCCCCUGGACGAAGACUGACGCUCAGGUGCGAAAGCGUGGGGAGCAAACAGGAUUAGAUACCCUGGUAGUCCACGCCGUAAACGAUGUCGACUUGGAGGUUGUGCCCUUGAGGCGUGGCUUCCGGAGCUAACGCGUUAAGUCGACCGCCUGGGGAGUACGGCCGCAAGGUUAAAACUCAAAUGAAUUGACGGGGGCCCGCACAAGCGGUGGAGCAUGUGGUUUAAUUCGAUGCAACGCGAAGAACCUUACCUGGUCUUGACAUCCACGGAAGUUUUCAGAGAUGAGAAUGUGCCUUCGGGAACCGUGAGACAGGUGCUGCAUGGCUGUCGUCAGCUCGUGUUGUGAAAUGUUGGGUUAAGUCCCGCAACGAGCGCAACCCUUAUCCUUUGUUGCCAGCGGUCCGGCCGGGAACUCAAAGGAGACUGCCAGUGAUAAACUGGAGGAAGGUGGGGACGACGUCAAGUCAUCAUGGCCCUUACGACCAGGGCUACACACGUGCUACAAUGGCGCAUACAAAGAGAAGCGACCUCGCGAGAGCAAGCGGACCUCAUAAAGUGCGUCGUAGUCCGGAUUGGAGUCUGCAACUCGACUCCAUGAAGUCGGAAUCGCUAGUAAUCGUGGAUCAGAAUGCCACGGUGAAUACGUUCCCGGGCCUUGUACACACCGCCCGUCACACCAUGGGAGUGGGUUGCAAAAGAAGUAGGUAGCUUAACCUUCGGGAGGGCGCUUACCACUUUGUGAUUCAUGACUGGGGUGAAGUCGUAACAAGGUAACCGUAGGGGAACCUGCGGUUGGAUCACCUCCUUACCUUAAAGAAGC
Molecule: ribosomal RNA, 1429 nt
Filed under: Shigella boydii
Lineage: Bacteria; Pseudomonadati; Pseudomonadota; Gammaproteobacteria; Enterobacterales; Enterobacteriaceae
Description: bacterial SSU rRNA
Rfam family: Bacterial small subunit ribosomal RNA
Source: RNAcentral